RNAcentral lists this long non-coding RNA (403 nucleotides) under Sus scrofa (pig). RNAcentral's name for it is "lncRNA (ENSSSCG00040064294.1)". The record is from RNAcentral. Lineage: Eukaryota; Metazoa; Chordata; Mammalia; Artiodactyla; Suidae.
CAAUAUCUUUCCUCUAAAAAGAGAAGAGAGAUACCAACUAAAAUUUAUAAGAAAAACUUAUAAAGAAAUAUAUAUGGGAGAGUGGAGGAAAAUAAAUCUUUGAAUUUUGCCAGGAGAUAAAUUUGAAAUGGAAAACAUCUGUUAAGAAUGACAUUGGAAGCUCAUCAAAUUUUUAUUUCUUAUCCCUGAAGUGUGCCUACUCUUUUUUUCUCUCUCUCUGGCCCUAGACAAGCUUUGGUUUUGUGAACUGUCUUUUCGACAUUAUCAAGGACUUUAUCUACCCUUCCGAGACUUCACCAUCCUUGGAUUUCAUUUCCAUGCUCACAAAGUAUUUCUGAGGGAGCCUGUGCCAGAGCCACCAGACCGACUGCCUGAAUUAUGCAGCUGCUGUCUUUUAUCUUGA